CCGAGGUGUACAUCCGCAAGCUGGCGGACACGCAGCAGAGCGUCGAGCUGCGGGUCGCGGUGAUGGGGGCGAACGAGGCGGGCAAGUCGACGCUCAUAGGCGUUCUCACUCAAGGUGAACUCGAUAACGGUAGAGGGAGCGCUCGCCUGAACAUAUUCAGGCAUUUGCACGAAGUGAAAAGUGGUAGGACGUCCUCGCUCAGCCACG
Nymphalis io (European peacock) is the source of this 207-nucleotide long non-coding RNA. RefSeq lists it as uncharacterized. The transcript is spliced from 3 exons. The record is from RefSeq and is a predicted model, not a curated record. Lineage: Eukaryota; Metazoa; Arthropoda; Insecta; Lepidoptera; Nymphalidae.